CAGUCGCCGCGGUAAAACGGAGGGAGCUAGCGUUAUUCGGAAUUACUGGGCGUAAAGCGCACGUAGGCGGCUUUGUAAGUUAGAGGUGAAAGCCUGGAGCUCAACUCCAGAAUUGCCUUUAAGACUGCAUCGCUUGAAUCCAGGAGAGGUGAGUGGAAUUCCGAGUGUAGAGGUGAAAUUCGUAGAUAUUCGGAAGAACACCAGUGGCGAAGGCGGCUCACUGGACUGGUAUUGACGCUGAGGUGCGAAAGCGUGGGGAGCGAACAGGAUUAGAUACCCCUGUAGUCCAUGUCUCUUAUAC
Molecule: ribosomal RNA, 301 nt
Filed under: uncultured bacterium
Lineage: Bacteria
Description: partial 16S ribosomal RNA
Rfam family: Bacterial small subunit ribosomal RNA
Source: RNAcentral